GAUGAACGCUGGCGGCGUGCUUAACACAUGCAAGUCGAACGGAAAGGCUCCUGCUUGCAGGGGUACUCGAGUGGCGAACGGGUGAGUAACACGUGGGUGAUCUGCCCUGCACUUCGGGAUAAGCCUGGGAAACUGGGUCUAAUACCGGAUAGGACGAUGGUUUGGAUGCCAUUGUGGAAAGUUUUUCGGUGUGGGAUGAGCUUGCGGCCUAUCAGCUUGUUGGUGGGGUAAUGGCCUACCAAGGCGUCGACGGGUAGCCGGCCUGAGAGGGUGUACGGCCACAUUGGGACUGAGAUACGGCCCAGACUCCUACGGGAGGCAGCAGUGGGGAAUAUUGCACGAUGGGCGCAAGCCUGAUGAAGCGACGCCGCGUGGGGGAUGACGGCCUUAGGGUUGUAAAAUCCUUUCGCUAGGGACGAAGCGUUUUGUGACGGUACCUGGAGAAGAAGCACCGGCUAACUACGUG
Molecule: ribosomal RNA, 466 nt
Filed under: uncultured bacterium
Lineage: Bacteria
Description: partial 16S ribosomal RNA
Rfam family: Bacterial small subunit ribosomal RNA
Source: RNAcentral